AUGAGUGACUUGGCUACUGCUCUGGAUGCGCAGGGCCACUUUGAUGAUGCCUACAUUUAUAUGCAGAGGGCGUCAGAUCUGGCAAGGGAGAUAAAUCACCCUGAGCUGCACAUGGUGCUCAGCAAUCUGGCUGCCAUCUUGAUACACAGAGUCUCUGUAUUUACAGCUGUGAAGUGUGAAACCAAUUAGAUUGUCCGACGACUGUAUCACUGCCUCAGAGUAUAUAAAUACAAGAUACAUGGAUGAAUGCUUUUA
RNAcentral lists this long non-coding RNA (255 nucleotides) under Rattus norvegicus (Norway rat). RNAcentral describes it as "long non-coding RNA NONRATT004371". Lineage: Eukaryota; Metazoa; Chordata; Mammalia; Rodentia; Muridae. The record is from RNAcentral.